Molecule: ribosomal RNA, 468 nt
Filed under: uncultured bacterium
Lineage: Bacteria
Description: partial 16S ribosomal RNA
Rfam family: Bacterial small subunit ribosomal RNA
Source: RNAcentral
GACGAACGCUGGCGGCGUGCUUAACACAUGCAAGUCGAACGGAAAGGCCCUGCUUUUGUUGGGUGCUCGAUUGGCGAACGGGUGAGUAACACGUGAGUAACCUGUCCUUGACUUUGGGAUAACUUCAGGAAACUGGGGCUAAUACCGGAUAGGAUCUCCUGCUGCAUGGUGGUGGUUGGUAAGUUUCGGCGGUUGGGUAUGGUCUCGCGGAUUAUCAGCUUGUUGGUGGGGUAGUGGCUUACCAAGGCUUUGACGGGUAGCCGGCCUGAGAGGGUUACCGGCCACAUUGGGACUGAGAUACGGCCCAGACUCCUACGGGAGGCAGCAGUGGGGAAUAUUGCACAACGGGCGGAAGCCUGAUGCAGCAACGCCGCGUGCGGGAUGACGGCCUUCGGGUUGUAAACCGCUUUCGCCUGUGACGAAGCGUGAGUGACGGUAAUGGGUAAAGAAGCACCGGCUAACUACGUG